GACGAACGCUGGCGGCGUGCCUAACACAUGCAAGUCGAGCGGAGAAUACAGCAAUGUAUUCUUAGCGGCGGACGGGUGAGUAACGCGUGGGCAACCUGCCUUUUACAGGGGGGAUAACACAGGGAAACUUGUGCUAAUACCGCAUAACAUAGCGAAAUGGCAUCAUUUUGCUAUCAAAGGAGUAAUCCGGUAAAAGAUGGACCCGCGUCCGAUUAGCUAGUUGGAGAGGUAAUGGCUCACCAAGGCGACGAUCGGUAGCCGAACUGAGAGGUUGAUCGGCCACAUUGGGACUGAGACACGGCCCAGACUCCUACGGGAGGCUG
Molecule: ribosomal RNA, 323 nt
Filed under: uncultured Bacillota bacterium
Lineage: Bacteria; Bacillati; Bacillota
Description: bacterial SSU rRNA
Rfam family: Bacterial small subunit ribosomal RNA
Source: RNAcentral